This 209-nucleotide ribosomal RNA is filed under the name uncultured bacterium. RNAcentral's name for it is "partial 16S ribosomal RNA". It matches the Rfam family "Bacterial small subunit ribosomal RNA", at positions 524 to 732 of the family's 1533-position model. The record is from RNAcentral.
UACGGAGGGUGCAAGCGUUAAUCGGAAUUACUGGGCGUAAAGCGCACGCAGGCGGUCUGUUAAGUGAGAUGUGAAAUCCCCGGGCUCAACCUGGGAAUUGCAUCUCAUACUGGCAAGCUUGAGUCUCGUAGGGGGGGGUAGAAUUCCACGUGUAGCGGUGAAAUGCGUAGAGGUGUGGAGGAAUACCGGUGGCGAAGGCGGCCCCUUGG